GCCGCCCCACACGUCCGACGCCGGGAUAGCGGCGGCGACAAUCCCCGGUGCCCCUUCUAACACAACCGAACCCGCCUCCCAACCCCAUUGGCUCGAGUCGGAUCCCCGCUUUAUUCCUAUUGGAUGCCAGCGCCGUCUAUCCCAGCCCAUCCUCAUGCCAGAGGCUGAUGGUGCUGCCGAUCUAGCGAAAUCCCCGCCCUCUGUUAUUCUAAGCCCGCGAUGAUUGGCUGAGAGAGGCAGGCCAAGAGACAGAAUCUUGUAGAAAUCGAAGGGGCGGAGCCGUGUACUACGGGAAGACUUGAGGCCCAAUCGUGGCUGGCGGAAGGAGCGCCUGUGCCCUGGAGGACCGCCAGAGGGAGCCGGAACCUCCGCGCAGCACACUGCUCCAAUCUCGGCCCUGCUACUGAGAAACAUCUCAUAACUCCUACGAGAUUUGACAGAGCUGCAGACACUGAAAACGAUAGUAACUACUGUUUGUGAAAACUCAUUAAGAAAUCUGGUUGGCAGACACUACCAAUCAACUAAAGAUGGCCCCAGAGAUAAAAAUCUUUUUGCCAUCAUCGAAUGGCACAAUUCUGCCUCCCAGAGUGGAUGAAAGAGCAUCAAGAAGCAGCUCAGCUGGGAUCUGCACAGCAAGAAUGCACAGCUAACCCCUUGUCCUCCAGACCUGUGUAUCCUCCCUUCCAUUUCUACCGUGGGCGCUUUGGGUACCCAUGAAGUGCUGGGAUGAGGGUGGGGAGGGGGCCCGGGGAGACCACUCUACCUGUUUUCACUGCCCUGCCCCAGGGUCGCACUUACACAGGUUCAGGGGGGCCAUGUCUUCCCGCGGUGCUGCCCAGGGACCCUCGGAUGGGUGAGGCUCCCCAUGAAGGGCCCCUGGCAGCAUCUCCCGUUUGAU
Acinonyx jubatus (cheetah) is the source of this 898-nucleotide long non-coding RNA. RefSeq lists it as uncharacterized. Lineage: Eukaryota; Metazoa; Chordata; Mammalia; Carnivora; Felidae. The transcript is spliced from 3 exons. The record is from RefSeq and is a predicted model, not a curated record.